Molecule: ribosomal RNA, 490 nt
Filed under: uncultured bacterium
Lineage: Bacteria
Description: partial 16S ribosomal RNA
Rfam family: Bacterial small subunit ribosomal RNA
Source: RNAcentral
GAUGAACGCUCGCUACAGGCUUAACACAUGCAAGUCGAGGGGCAGCAUGGUCUUAGCUUGCUAAGGCCGAUGGCGACCGGCGCCCGGGUGAGUAACACGUAUCCAACCUGCCGUCUACUCUUGGACAGCCUUCUGAAAGGAAGAUUAAUACAAGAUGGCAUCAUGAGUCCGCAUGUUCACAUGAUUAAAGGUAUUCCGGUAGACGAUGGGGAUGCGUUCCAUUAGAUAGUAGGCGGGGUAACGGCCCACCUAGUCUUCGAUGGAUAGGGGUUCUGAGAGGAAGGUCCCCCACAUUGGAACUGAGACACGGUCCAAACUCCUACGGGAGGCAGCAGUGAGGAAUAUUGGUCAAUGGGCGAGAGCCUGAACCAGCCAAGUAGCGUGAAGGAUGACUGCCCUAUGGGUUGUAAACUUCUUUUAUAAAGGAAUAAAGUCGGGUAUGGAUACCCGUUUGCAUGUACUUUAUGAAUAAGGAUCGGCUAACUCCGUG